This is a long non-coding RNA of Dendronephthya gigantea, 582 nucleotides long. RefSeq lists it as uncharacterized. The transcript is spliced from 3 exons. Lineage: Eukaryota; Metazoa; Cnidaria; Anthozoa; Malacalcyonacea; Nephtheidae. The record is from RefSeq and is a predicted model, not a curated record.
AUUGAAAACCUAUAACAAACAGACUUUUCCUUCCUCUUGGUUCUGCAUUUUGAUGAUAAAAUGCUUUUCGUGUAAUCUACAUGGUCAGCGUAGAGACAUUGGAGUUAGAAUCAACAAUGGCAAGGCGCAACGUGUUAAUGAUAUAGAAGAUCAGUAGCUAACUCCCGAAAGACAACAAACUGAGAUCCAGAGGUACAAAUCGUAAAUAUUAUUGGUGAAAAGCAGCUGCCGAAAACAAAAACAGGAGUGGAUCUGACCCAAAGAAUCUGAAAAAAAACAACUUCUACGGCUGAGAUCACAAACACACACAUUGCAUACACAUUCAAGCGAUAAAAAGCAAUGUUAAAUCUCCAGGGUAGUGUUGGUGUAAGACCUAAUUCAAAAUAUUCUUUAAAACAAGCUAGGUCAGUCGAUAAAUAUACACUAAACGAUGAUCAGUUAACACAUCCAGAUAAGAUACCUGAUUAUAUUUUUAAUAAACUGAUGAUAGGUGAUUACCAUGUCCGUGAAUUUAAAUUAAGUAACGAAGCUAGAAAUACUUACGACUCCGUUGAGAGCGAGGAUGAAGAUAAUGUGAGGGAG